GAUGAACGCUAGCGGCAGGCUUAAUACAUGCAAGUCGUGGGGCAGCAGGUUUGUAGCAAUACAGAUGCUGGCGACCGGCAAACGGGUGCGGAACACGUACAGAACCUUCCUUUGAGCGGGGAAUAGCCCAGAGAAAUUUGGAUUAAUACCCCAUAGUAUAAUGAAGUGGCAUCACUUUAUUAUUAAAGAUUUAUCACUCGAAGAUGGCUGUGCGGCUGAUUAGGUAGUUGGCGGGUAAAGGCCCACCAAGCCUGCGAUCAGUAACUGGUGUGAGAGCACGACCAGUCACACGGGCACUGAGACACGGGCCCGACUCCUACGGGAGGCAGCAGUAAGGAAUAUUGGUCAAUGGAGGCAACUCUGAACCAGCCAUGCCGCGUGGAGGAUGAAGGUCCUCUGGAUUGUAAACUUCUUUAUAUGGGACGAAAAAGGCUUUUCUAAGUCGUCUGACGGUACCAUAUGAAUAAGCACCGGCUAACUCCGUGCCAGCAGCCG
Molecule: ribosomal RNA, 495 nt
Filed under: uncultured bacterium
Lineage: Bacteria
Description: bacterial SSU rRNA
Rfam family: Bacterial small subunit ribosomal RNA
Source: RNAcentral